This 245-nucleotide ribosomal RNA is filed under the name uncultured bacterium. RNAcentral describes it as "partial 16S ribosomal RNA". It matches the Rfam family "Bacterial small subunit ribosomal RNA", at positions 524 to 768 of the family's 1533-position model. The record is from RNAcentral.
UACGGAAGGUCCAAGCGUUAGUCGGAAUUACUGGGCGUAAAGGGUGCGUAGGCGGUUAUAUAAGUCGGCUGUGAAAUUCCAAGGCUUAACCUUGGAGCUGCAGUCGAAACUAUAUAACUUGAGGAAUGGCGGAGAAAAUGGAAUUCCAUAUGUAGCGGUGAAAUGCGUAGAUAUAUGGAAGAACACCUGUGGCGAAAGCGGUUUUCUAGCUUCCUCCUGACGCUGAGGCACGAAAGCAAGGGGAG